UACGGAGGAUGCAAGCGUUAUCCGGAAUGAUUGGGCGUAAGCGUCCGCAGGUGGCAAUGUAAGUCUGCUGUUAAAGAGUCUAGCUCAACUAGAUAAAAGCAGUGGAAACUACAUAGCUAGAGUACGUUCGGGGCAGAAGGGAAUUCCUGGUCGUAGGCGGUGAAAUGCGAUGACGGAGUAUCAAAGAGGGAACAGACCUGGCGGGCGGAAAGGGCGGGGGUUUGGCCUGGGGACC
This 235-nucleotide ribosomal RNA is filed under the name uncultured bacterium. RNAcentral's name for it is "partial 16S ribosomal RNA". It matches the Rfam family "Bacterial small subunit ribosomal RNA", at positions 524 to 755 of the family's 1533-position model. The record is from RNAcentral.